AAACAGCCCCAUAUGUUUUGAUUCUUUGGCAGUUUUGGACCCCCAAGGCAAAAAAUAAAAUAAAAAAUUUGACACGUGGCACAUCACUUAGGGUGCCACGUCAGCGUUGACCGAGUCAACAAUGGACUGAGGGUCCAAAACCGCCAAAGAAUCAAAACAUAGGGGGCUGUUU
Medicago truncatula (barrel medic) is the source of this 172-nucleotide microRNA precursor. It matches the Rfam family "MIR2619 microRNA precursor family". NCBI's taxonomy places the organism in Eukaryota, Viridiplantae, Streptophyta, Magnoliopsida, Fabales, Fabaceae. The record is from Rfam.